GUCCACGCCUAACGAUGAGAACUGGAUGUCGGGAGGGUCUGCCUUCCGGUGUCGUAGCUAACGCGUUAAGUUCUCCGCCUGGGAAGUACGGCCGCAAGGUUGAACUCAAAGGAAUUGACGGGACCCGCACAAGCGGUGGAGCAUGUGGUUCAAUUCGAUGCAACGCGAAGAACCUUACCUGGUCUUGACAUCCCAGGAAUCCUGCAGAGAUGCGGGAGUGCCUUCGGGAGCCUGGAGACAGGUGCUGCAUGGCUGUCGU
Molecule: ribosomal RNA, 259 nt
Filed under: uncultured bacterium
Lineage: Bacteria
Description: partial 16S ribosomal RNA
Rfam family: Bacterial small subunit ribosomal RNA
Source: RNAcentral